GACGAACGCUGGCGGCGUGCUUAACACAUGCAAGUCGAACGGUAAGGCCCUUCGGGGUACACGAGUGGCGAACGGGUGAGUAACACGUGGGUGAUCUGCCCUGCACUUCGGGAUAAGCCUGGGAAACUGGGUCUAAUACCGGAUAGGACCACUGCCUGCAUGGGUGGUGGUGGAAAGCUUUUGCGGUGUGGGAUGGGCCCGCGGCCUAUCAGCUUGUUGGUGGGGGGAUGGCCUACCAAGGCGACGACGGGUAGCCGGCCUGGGAGGGUGACCGGCCACACUGGGACUGAGAUACUGCCCAGACUCCUACGGGAGGCAGCAGUGGGGAAUAUUGCACAAUGGGCGCAAGCCUGAUGCAGCGACGCCGCGUGAGGGAUGACGGCCUUCGGGUUGUAAACCUCUUUCAGCACCGACGAAGCGCAAGUGACGGUAGGUGCAGAAGAAGGACCGGCCAACUACGUGCCAGCAGCCGCCGUAA
RNAcentral lists this ribosomal RNA (478 nucleotides) under uncultured bacterium. RNAcentral describes it as "partial 16S ribosomal RNA". It matches the Rfam family "Bacterial small subunit ribosomal RNA", at positions 28 to 523 of the family's 1533-position model. The record is from RNAcentral.